UUGGAGUCAGGGAGGCACAGCAGAACUGAGCACUGCCGGCUCAUGCCCAGCUGCAAACACAACCCUCCCUUCCCAAAGAGAAGAAGAGAGAGGGGAAAAGCAUAAGGGGAAACAAGCCUGAUGCAUCUGGCUGUGGAGCUGCUGCCCUGGACCGUCCCUGUUCUUGCUGCUGUGGAAGAGCUCCAGCCUUCACCUUGCUGCCAGGUCUGCAAGUGGCAAUGGGCUCACCGUGUGGGCAGAUACAGAACAGCUCCAGCGGCUCGAGCAGACUUUGUGAGGCUGGUGGUCUUGAGGAAAAUGUUUGGACUCCCCUGGCUUCCGAACCUGUACAAUCAACACAGCUUUCUGCUUAUGGCAAUCAGGUUCCCAGAUCAGCAUGGUGCACGGGAAAAGCGUUUGCCCAAACAUGUCAUCAGAAACUGACUUCCAAAAGGCUUUUCUCAAGUUGGAGAAUACAAACAGAUGUGUGAUAUUUUUCCAUUUCAGAGCAAUCCUUGAAAUAUCACUAUGAUGCAGAUUAUCUUCAUGACUCCUUCAUCCCAGCAUCCACAGAGGGAGAGUUAUUGAAAUUUGCAGAUGCAUCAUGUUGGAGAACUCUCAGUUUAGUGCGGCAGUUCUUGAAAAUAUAUUGGCCCAGCUGAAAGUAUUGGGGAAAAGAAGAUUAUCUCUGGCAUGGGACCACACUGCAACAGCCCCUGUUCUCAGAGAAGAAGCUCUAAUCUAAAAUCUAUCAGACUAUUUCUUCGUCUUCUAAUCUCCUCCUAAAUGAAAAUAGAAUUAUUCAGCUUUCUGUCAUGAUCUAUAGAGAAGUGUGAAGUUAAAAAUAAAACUCAGCUCUUCCUCAGUGAAUGGACAAUGGCUGUCUUUUUAAACUAAAAGCCCACUGGUCCCAUUGCCUUCUACUAAACAGUCAGGCAUCACAGAAGGGUUUUUUGGUGUUUGAGGCUCAGUUUGCCCAGAGAUUAAUAAUUGCAGCAAGGAGAAGUGCAGAGAGGUUGGACAUCUUUACUUCCUGCAGUACUACCACCACAUGUCUGACUCCAGCACCAGGCAGCUGGAAUUUAAAUGGGCUGAAAAAUUCACUGAAAUGCUUUGAUGUUGUAUAGAUGCAGAAUUUGAAAGGAUUAUGGAUGUCUAUUUUUAAAAGGAAGUUAAUAAAAGACAUUAUAAGGCUAUGAAAAAUACUGUGUGGUAUAAAGGAAGAUCAGGAAAUUCUUGUUUUUCUCAUAGUGCAGGGAACACAGGCAUUCACAGAAAGAGAUACAGUGUGCAAAAAUAUGCAAACAAGCCAAAAGAAGCCAUUCCCUGCUGGAUUUCACUGUGUCCUGACUGUCCCGCUCAGCUGAGUGGAGACCAUGGGCCAGCCUGCCCAAACCAGCCCUGCUCGCUCCUGUCUCUCACUGAGGUCACCACGAGUAUCACCCUCAGAGUGCUGCAGCUCUGAAAAUUUGUGACUGGAAGCAAAUGGUUUUGAAGGAGAGAAAGAACAGGUGCAGAGAGGUCCUUAUCCUCAGAAAGCCUGCUGAACCACGCCUUUCUCCUUGGAAGAAGUCGUAUUUACACGACAAAUUUACAUGUAGCGGUGACAGUGGCAGAGUAUUUCCAAGAAAGUGGAAUUAUUAAUGUUUUGGCAGGAUGAGAUUG
Molecule: long non-coding RNA, 1644 nt
Organism: Ficedula albicollis (Collared flycatcher)
Lineage: Eukaryota; Metazoa; Chordata; Aves; Passeriformes; Muscicapidae
Source: Ensembl